CCUACGGGAGGCAGCAGUGGGGAAUAUUGGCCAAUGGGCGCAAGCCUGAUCCAGCCAUGCCGCGUGAGUGAUGAAGGCCUUAGGGUUGUAAAGCUCUUUCAGCGCUGAAGAUAAUGACGGUAGCGGAAGAAUAAGCCCCGGCUAACUCCGUGCCAGCAGCCGCG
This 164-nucleotide ribosomal RNA is filed under the name uncultured bacterium. Its description in RNAcentral is "partial 16S ribosomal RNA". It matches the Rfam family "Bacterial small subunit ribosomal RNA", at positions 338 to 519 of the family's 1533-position model. The record is from RNAcentral.